UACGGAGGGUGCAAGCGUUGUUCGGAAUUACUGGGCGUAAAGCGCGUGUAGGCGGCCUUGCAAGUCAGAUGUGAAAGCCCUCGGCUUAACCGGGGAAGUGCAUCUGAAACUGCUUGGCUUGAGUACCGGAGAGGGAGGCGGAAUUCCCAGUGUAGAGGUGAAAUUCGUAGAUAUUGGGAGGAACACCGGUGGCGAAAGCGGCCUCCUGGACGGAUACUGACGCUAAGACGCGAAAGCGUGGGUAGCAAACAGG
RNAcentral lists this ribosomal RNA (253 nucleotides) under uncultured bacterium. RNAcentral describes it as "partial 16S ribosomal RNA". It matches the Rfam family "Bacterial small subunit ribosomal RNA", at positions 524 to 776 of the family's 1533-position model. The record is from RNAcentral. RNAcentral also lists the same sequence under 1 other name.